AAAUGGAAAUAUCUCAAGAGGGAUUCAGUGCAAUUCAUGUGCCUGAGGGAAUUCAGAUGUCUAUUGUUGGUGCAAACCAGUGGAAGGGAGGCUACGUGCAAUACACAACAGGAGGCCAGAAGGUGAAAACAUAUGAGGAUGUGUCUUUGGAGCCUGACAGUUAUCUUGGUUACUCAGUGGCAAUUGCUAAAACUCAAAGCGGCUCUCUGACA
This is a long non-coding RNA of Haplochromis burtoni (Burton's mouthbrooder), 212 nucleotides long. RefSeq lists it as uncharacterized. NCBI's taxonomy places the organism in Eukaryota, Metazoa, Chordata, Actinopteri, Cichliformes, Cichlidae. The transcript has 3 exons. The record is from RefSeq and is a predicted model, not a curated record.